GGAGAAGUCAAUGCAAAAUUCGGAUGUCUUCCACCUCUACUUAUGUGACUGCAGAGAGGAGGACAGAGAACAGUGGACACACAGUUUAACAUGAUGGACUAUAGGACAGGACUGCUGCUUUUAACUGUCUGCUGGGCAGGUGUUGAUGGUCAGACUCUGACAGAAUCUGAACCAGUGGUUAAAAGGCCUGGAGAAUCUCACAGAUUGACCUGUACAGCCUCUGGUUUCACACUCAGUCACUACGAGAUGAACUGGGUCAGACAGGCUCCUGGAAAAGGACUGGAGUGGGUUGCCUGGAUUGACACUGGUGGUGGCAGCACUCACUACUCUCAGUCAGUCCAAGGCCGGUUUACCAUCUCCAGAGACAACAGCAGAAAGCAGGUGUAUCUGCAGAUGAACAGUCUGAAGACUGAAGAUUUGGUUGAGCAGCUGCACAAAAUCCUACAGGACUCGUUUUUUCUGGACAGAAUUAGAUUAUCCUUAUCUUUUGUUGUUCUUGUAAAAUACCAUGAAUGCCCACAGUGACACAAGGAACAACACUGGACAUCAUGUCAAAACAAGUCCAAACUUUACUUUCUGAUUUUUCCUUUCACAGAAUUAUUAAAUGUGAUAAACACAUUCAGAGAAAAAUCAAGUCAAUUAAACUGCUUCGUUCAGACAAACUUUUUUGCAGCUCUGUUGUUCUCCGGGAGAUUGAGAACAUUAAAUAUCUUGUUAA
Molecule: non-coding RNA, 718 nt
Organism: Scatophagus argus
Lineage: Eukaryota; Metazoa; Chordata; Actinopteri; Scatophagidae
Source: the annotation of a RefSeq genome assembly